Long non-coding RNA from Ornithorhynchus anatinus (platypus), 131 nucleotides. RefSeq lists it as uncharacterized. NCBI's taxonomy places the organism in Eukaryota, Metazoa, Chordata, Mammalia, Monotremata, Ornithorhynchidae. The record is from RefSeq and is a predicted model, not a curated record. The transcript is spliced from 2 exons.
GUUGCCUACCCGCUCUUUAAAAAUCUCCAGAGGUAUUCCUACAUUUCUGAGAGGGGAAUCUAAUGACUUCCUUCUUACAGAAUGGAGAUUGUGGACAAACUUUUCAUGACAGUUUAAUGAAGUCCUUGAGG